CCGGUAGAAGCAUCAACAACUGUCAUUAACAGCUGUCCUCGCCGUUCACCUAUGCCGCCGAACAGGUGAUCUGGAUCUUGACCUAUGCUGCCGAACAGGUGAUCUGGAUCUUGACCUAUGCUUCCGAACAGGUGAUCUUGACUUAUGCUUCCGAACAGGUGAUUUUGAUCUUGAUCUAUGCUUCCGAACAGGUGAUCUGGAUCUUGACUUAUGCUUCCGAACAGGUGAUCUGGAUCUUGACCUAUGCUUCCGAACAGGUGAUCUGGAUCUUGACCUAUGCUUCCGAACUGGUGAUUUGGAUCUUGACCUUCUUACCCUGCAUAAAAAGGAAACCCUGUAAAUAAACAAGGCACAGCUGUAGUAUAAAUGGGAACCCAUACAAAUUCACCUGAGUAGCUUAUAUUGUUAUAUGAUGAUGGUAGUUUGUCUCAAAAAUAUAAACCUUAAACAUGAUUAACUUAAUGGCAACAAACCUGG
Molecule: long non-coding RNA, 477 nt
Filed under: Medicago truncatula (barrel medic)
Lineage: Eukaryota; Viridiplantae; Streptophyta; Magnoliopsida; Fabales; Fabaceae
Description: long non-coding RNA (MTRU_LNC006393)
Source: RNAcentral